This 95-nucleotide transfer RNA is filed under the name compost metagenome. Its description in RNAcentral is "tRNA-Ala". The record is from RNAcentral.
CUGCCGGCAGCGUGUUGCGGCGGCCGCUGCGGCUGCCCGCGGCGGCCGCGGAACGGCUGCGCGAUGUGGUCGGUUUUGAGAUCGAUCGGCAGACC